This 253-nucleotide ribosomal RNA is filed under the name uncultured bacterium. Its description in RNAcentral is "partial 16S ribosomal RNA". It matches the Rfam family "Bacterial small subunit ribosomal RNA", at positions 524 to 776 of the family's 1533-position model. The record is from RNAcentral.
GACAGAGGUGCCAAGCGUUAGGCGGAAUCACUGGGCUUAAAGCGUGUGUAGGCGGAUCGUUAAGUCCCUUGUGAAAUCCCUCGGCUCAACUGAGGAACUGCCUUUGAAACUGUACGGCUUGAGGCCGGGAGGGGGUAGCGGAAUUCCCAAUGUAGCGGUGAAAUGCGUAGAUAUUGGGAGGAACACCAGUGGCGAAGGCGGCUACCUGGACCGGUUCUGACGCUGAGGCGCGAAAGCGUGGGUAGCAAACAGG